Molecule: long non-coding RNA, 214 nt
Filed under: Ricinus communis (castor bean)
Lineage: Eukaryota; Viridiplantae; Streptophyta; Magnoliopsida; Malpighiales; Euphorbiaceae
Description: long non-coding RNA (RCOM_LNC002211)
Source: RNAcentral
GAAAACUGACAGAAAUUCACCUUGGGACUCUAGAGCUGAUCGGCUCAAUACAGAGCCAAUUAGCUCUAUACUGAGCCGAUUGGCUGAUCAAGCUGGCCCUUUUAUUUUUUGCAUUUUUGGCAUAUUUCAAUGUAUUCUCGACCUCUAUAUAGUUUUAGGUCUUUCUGGUUUGGUAAUCGUAGUUGUAGGCAGGUUGUAAUAAUUAAGAUUUUCU